UACAGAGACCGCAAGCGUUAUUCGGAUUCACUGGGCGUAAAGGGUGCGCAGGCGGCCGAGUGUGUGAGGCGUGAAAGCCCGGGGCUUAACCCCGGAAUUGCACCUCAAACUACACGGCUAGAGCAUUGGAGAGGGUAGCAGAAUUCAUGGUGUAGCAGUGAAAUGCGUAGAUAUCAUGAGGAAUACCAGAGGCGAAGGCGGCUACCUGGACAAUUGCUGACGCUCAGGCACGAAAGCGUGGGGAGCAAAAGGG
RNAcentral lists this ribosomal RNA (253 nucleotides) under uncultured bacterium. RNAcentral describes it as "partial 16S ribosomal RNA". It matches the Rfam family "Bacterial small subunit ribosomal RNA", at positions 524 to 776 of the family's 1533-position model. The record is from RNAcentral.